AUCAAGGAUGCCUGAGGGGAUUUGAGUCCUACAGGCUCAGCACUUAUGAAAAAGGAUAAAGUCCUUCCCAGCCUGGCAGGAGAAGGAAAAGCCUGUGGUGGGGGAAGGGAGUGAAGGCGUGUGCCUCCUCAUGGAACACAGGGUCGGAGUCGGCUAGGAGGGAUAAGAGUACAAUAGAGGGUUGUGUGACACAGACAGGCUGCCAGCCCUCAGCAUGGACCCGGCACAUGGAAUCUGUGAUCUUAAAAGAGUCAAGUGACUACCUUUGGCAACCAAAAGAGACACUGCCUUUUAGAAGGCAUAUCAUCUGAAACUGGCUGAAAGAGCUGUCUUACUUAGGAAGAAAAAUCUCUCCUUUGGAAAGAGCUGGAACUUUUAGUAAAACUGAACAGUGAGGUGGCGGAAGAUGGGAAACACUCAGACAUCAACAGGCUCACCCUUGAAAUGCAUCCUAAGCCAUUGGGACCAAUUUGAUCUGCAAACCCUGAAAAAGAGGAUCGAGGCUAUCAAGCUACAGAUGAUCUUACAAAUGGAACCCCAAAUGAGCUCAACUAACAACUACCAAGGACCCCUGGACCAACCCGCUGGCCCUUUCAAUGGCCUAAAGAGUUCCCCUCUGGAGGACACUACAACUGCAGGGUCCUUUCUUUGCCCCUAUCCAGCAGGAAGUAGCUAGAGUGGUCAUCACCCAAUUCCCAACAGCAGUUGGGGUGUCUUGUUAAGUGGGGAGAUUGAGAGGUGAAGCCAGCUGGGCUUCUGGGUUGGGUGGGGACUUGGAGAACUUUUCUGUCUAGCUAGAGGAUUGUAAACACACCAAUCAGUGCUAUGUGUCUAGCUAGAGGUUUGUAAAUGCACCAAUCAGCACUCUGUAAAAACGGACCAAUCAGCACUCUGUAAAAUGGACCAAUCAGUAGGAUGCGGGCAGGGCCAAAUAAGGGAAUAAAAGCUGGCCACCUGAGUCAGCAGUGGCAACCCACUCGGGUCCCCUUCCAUGCUGUGGAAGCUUUGUUCUUUCACUCUUCACAAUAAAUCUUGCUGCUGCUCACUCUUUGGGUCCACACCACCUUUAUGAGCUGCAACACUCACUGCGAAGGUCUUCAGCUUCACUCCUGAAGUCAGCGAGACCACGAACCCAUGGGGAGGAACAAUCGACUUCAGACAUGCCACCUUUAAGAGCUGUAACACUCACUGCGAAGGUCUGUGGCUUCACUCCUGAAGUCAGCAAGACCACGAACCCACUGGAAGGAAGAAAUUUCGGACACAUCUGAACAUCUGAAUGAACAAACUCUGGACACGCCAUCUUUAAGAACUGUAACACUCACUGUGAGGGUUCAUGGGUUCAUUCUUGAAGUCAGCAAGACCAAGAACCCACCAGAAGGAACCAAUUCCGGACACAGACUCACUGCAACCUCCACCUCCUGGAUUCAAGUGAUUCUCCUGCCUCAGCCUCCGGAGUAGCUGUGCCUACAGGCACAAGCCACCACACACGGCUAAUUUUUUGUAUUUUUAGUAGAGAUGGGGUUUCACCAUGUUGCUCAGGCUGGUCUCCAACUCCUGAGCUCAAGUGAUCCACCUGUCUCGGCCUCCCAAAGUGUUGGGAUACAUGUGUGAGCCACUGUGCCCGGCCUCCUCUGGAUUAGUUCUUACAGGAAUAGAUUAGUUCUUGCUCGAGCAAGUUGUUAUAAAAGUGAGGUUGCCUCUAGUGUUUUGCAUCCUCACAUAUGUCUGCUUACCUCUUGACCUCUCUCUGUGUUAUGACCCAGCACAAAAGCCCUUACCAGAAGCCAAGCAGAUGCUGAUGCCACACCCCUUGGACUUCUCAGUCUACAGAGCCAUGAAACGAAUAAACCUCUCUUUAUAAAUUAUCCAGCUUCAGGUAUUCUGUUAUAGCAACACAAAAUGGACGAAGACAACUACCUUAUCAUAAUAAUACUAUGAUAGUCAAAAUAGAUAAUGUCUGUUAAAAUGCUUAAACAGUUUACACACGUUAUUUUUACCUCAUUAGAGUGAUUUAUUAUUCAUUAAUAUGUAGAGCAGCAUUAAGGUAUAACAACAUAAACAUUGAGAUCAUUAAUCAAGGGUCCUGAGAUUCUACUCUUGUUCUCCAUAAAUUAGCUGAGUAAAUAUGGUAAGUCAUUUAACAUUUGGGCUUCAGGUUUCUUAAUCUAUAAAAAUGACAAAGUAUCAUUUAGAACCUUCUAGCUAGGAAAUAUAUCAUUUUGUGAUCUCCUAAAUCUAGUUUUUUUCUCACAUACUGGCUCUAAUUUUUUGAGAUAGGAUCUUGCUCUGUUGCCCAGACUGGAGUGCAGUGGCAUGAACAUGGCUCACUGCAGCCUUAACCUCCUGGGCUCCAGUGAUCCUCCUGCUUCAGCCACUCGAGUAGCUGGGACUACAGGCUCAUGUCACCACACCCAGCUAUUUAAGAACUUUUUUUUGUAGAGGCAGGGUCUCCCUGUGUUGCCCAGCCUGAUCUCAAACUCCUGGGAUGAAGUGAUCCUCCUGCUUGGGACUCUCAAAGUGCUGGGAUUGCAGGUGUGAGCCACCAUACCCAGACUUUAAGUUUUCUCUAUUAAGAGACUGUUGCAUUUUCCCCCUUUGCUCAUGCCUUGCUGAAUGAGUUGAGUGCACAUACAUGAUUAUUACAAAGUACAACAUGCUUAGGAAAAUCUGUGACAAAUAGAGGAAUCUUUUUUCUUUUGAAACUUUCACUUAUUUUGUUUUGUUUAGUUUUGAGUAGGCAAUGCAUUUACAUUGCCCAAAUUUAAAACACUAUCACAAGUCACACAAUGAGGAGUCCAACUUCCUACCUUACCUGUCUACCCUUUUUCCUGCUCCCAUUUUUUCCUAUCUAUCCUUCCAGUGUUUUUCUAUGCCAAGUUCAAAUGAUAUAAAUAUAAAUUUUCUUAUUUUCUCCCUUUUCCUGUUAGACAUUUCACUUUUUUCACUUAAUAGUAUAUUCUGGAAAUUACCAUACAUCAGUACACAGUGAGCCACCUUCUCUCUAGUUUUUUUUCAGCUUCAUAUUAUUCAAUUGUGGGGCAGAACCAUAGUUUAUUGAAUGAAUCUCCUAAAGAAGGACACUUGUUUCUAACAUUUUGCUAUUGCAGAAAAUGCUGCAAAUAAAUAACACUGUGCAGACUUCAUUUUAUAUUAUGUACAGGUGGAUCUGUAGAAUACAUUCCCAGAAGUGGGAACCCUAGGUUAAAGAGUAAAUUAAUUUGCGCAUUAAAAAAAUGUCAUAUUGGCCUUAACAAAAUUGAGACUAUUUUGCACAACUAGCAAUGUAUCAGAGUGCCUGUUUUCCAACAGCCUCACCAACACAAUGUGUUCAAAUGUUGAAUUUUUAAAUAAUCUGAUAGGAAAAAUGACAUGCAGAGUGAUUUUAAUUUGCGUGAAGAAGCUUUUAAAGAAAGAGUUGAGAAGUUGAAAUUUAAGGUGAGUUUUGAUAGAUUCUUCAAAGUGUCCCCCAAAUAGGAAGCUUCACAGUUAAUGUUUAAAACCUCUUGUAAAUAACAAUUGGCAUUGAAAGAAAGCAAAAUAUUACUUUGUAAUCCGAAGUAUAUUGUCAGCCAAGUUCAAGGAAGCUUGGUAAUUGCUCAAUCUUAAAUUACUCAAUCUUAAACCAGAGAGAUGAAGUGGUGCAUUCGUGACCACUGGCCUUGAACUGUUAACUCUCCCAGCGCUGUUAACAGGAGUUUCUUCAUUGUUGGGCUCUUAUCCAUCCUUCAUAUUAGUAAUUCCAAAUUAAUAACUGCAUAUUAAUAAACUCCAAAGGUGACAUUACACAUAUCUGAUGUCUUGAACAAAUAUCCUAGAGCAAAGUGGCAGAAACAAGAUGAGAAACAGAGCUGGAGGAAAUUUUGUUUUAUAUUGAGUCAAUUAAACUCCCUCUCUCCCUGUUUCUCUUUCUUUCUCUCUCUCUCUCUCUCCACAUGCACACACCAGCAGAAGCAUUUCUUUCAGAUUCAAA
RNAcentral lists this long non-coding RNA (3970 nucleotides) under Homo sapiens (human). RNAcentral's name for it is "HSALNT0364806". The record is from RNAcentral. Lineage: Eukaryota; Metazoa; Chordata; Mammalia; Primates; Hominidae.